AAGGAAGACAAGUACAGAGGCGGCAGGUAUUAUAUUAGUAUCUCUGGACUUUAUUUUCUAUUGUGCUUUAUUUUUAUUUUUAUUUUUUUUGAAAAUGUGUGUUUUUCAGGGAUUGUGGAGUUUUUACUUUUUAAUGUUUUCAUAGAAUUUCAAGGAGAGGAUUCUACAGUCAUAAUGAGGAGAAGAGAGAGACACAAAGAGAGCAUGGGACACUUCAUCACAGAGUGCACCAAGGCUGAAGACACUUAAGACCUCACAUUCAUUGAAAGUGACAAGAUUUGGUUUCCCUGAGGAAUGAGCUGGGACAGUCUCUCUUCAGCCCUCACAAAUCCUGUGUCUUCUCCACAGGAAUGGCAUCAGAACAUGCUAUAUAUCUCUCCAAAUACUGAAGACAUAUACAGAAAAUAAACUAAAAAGUCAUGGUAUA
Molecule: long non-coding RNA, 427 nt
Filed under: Coturnix japonica (Japanese quail)
Lineage: Eukaryota; Metazoa; Chordata; Aves; Galliformes; Phasianidae
Description: lncRNA (ENSCJPG00005000872.1)
Source: RNAcentral